Molecule: ribosomal RNA, 267 nt
Filed under: uncultured bacterium
Lineage: Bacteria
Description: partial 16S ribosomal RNA
Rfam family: Archaeal small subunit ribosomal RNA
Source: RNAcentral
UACCAGCACCCCCGAGUGGUCGGGACGAUUAUUGGGUCUAAAGCAUCCGUAGCCGGUUCUACAAGUCUUCCGUUAAAUCCACCUGCUUAACAGUUGGGCUGCAGAGGAUACUAUAGAGCUAGGAGGCGGGAGAGGCAAGCGGUACUUAGUGGGUAGGGGUAAAAUCCGUUGAUCCGCUGAAGACCACCAGUGGCGAAGGCGGCUUGCCAGAACGCGCUCGACGGUGAGGGAUGAAAGCUGGGGGGAGCAAACCGGAUUAGAAACCCG